RNAcentral lists this transfer RNA (72 nucleotides) under uncultured phage cr106_1. Its description in RNAcentral is "crAssphage cr106_1 tRNA-Gln". It matches the Rfam family "tRNA". From Rfam's summary of the family: Transfer RNA (tRNA) molecules are approximately 80 nucleotides in length. Their secondary structure includes four short double-helical elements and three loops (D, anti-codon, and T loops). Further hydrogen bonds mediate the characteristic L-shaped molecular structure. tRNAs have two regions of fundamental functional importance: the anti-codon, which is responsible for specific mRNA codon recognition, and the 3' end, to which the tRNAs corresponding amino acid is attached (by aminoacyl-tRNA synthetases). tRNAs cope with the degeneracy of the genetic code in two manners: having more than one tRNA (with a specific anti-codon) for a particular amino acid; and 'wobble' base-pairing, i.e. permitting non-standard base-pairing at the 3rd anti-codon position. Lineage: Duplodnaviria; Heunggongvirae; Uroviricota; Caudoviricetes; Crassvirales; Steigviridae. The record is from RNAcentral.
UGCCCCAUGGUGUAAUGGUAACACACAACAUUUUGGAUGUUAGAUUAUCAGUUCAAAUCUGGUUGGGGUAAC